Molecule: long non-coding RNA, 1266 nt
Organism: Setaria italica (foxtail millet)
Lineage: Eukaryota; Viridiplantae; Streptophyta; Magnoliopsida; Poales; Poaceae
Exons: 2
Source: RefSeq, a predicted model, not a curated record
GGUCAGUCUCAGUGCAUGAUUUUAUAGCACUGUUACCAAGAGUGCUAUAUCAAGUUUUCAAUAGAAUGAAAUUGUCACUCUUAGUGCAUAGUUUCAUUGCACUCAUAGAUAGCUAGCAUCAAUUAAUUCUUGCAUUGUGUUAUGAUGGAAUGUGUCAUGCCAUGAAACCAUAACAUGCUCAGUGCAAGUUUCAUUGGGUUUCAUGGGACUUGAUAACUGUGCCAGUUGGGUUUCAUAGUGAUGAAACUCUCUUCUUCUCGCUCCUCGUAAUUAGUCUGCCAAGUUAGCAGUUUUGCUGAUGUGGCAUGAAAUUUAAUGCCCAUAAAAUCCCAUGACACUCCCAUUGAAGCUGCCCUAUCUACAUUCUAACCUCUUAACCUCUUUGUGGAUCAUGAUGUCAUGAAUUCACAAAUUCAGAUAACUGAGGCCCCGUUUGGAUACACAAUGCUAAAGUUUAGCACUGCACUUUUUGCAUACUUUUAGUACUUGAGCAUCCAAACAUGUGUACUAAAAGUGCAGUGCUAAAUUUUAGCACCCCCAUUUUCUUUAACACACCCAAGGGGUGCUAAUAGUGCUAAAAGUGAUCCCCUCUCCAAUUUUUUCCCAUUGCCCUCCCCUUUCUCCUCCCUCUCUCCUCUCCCCACUGCACCCCCGCCGCUCUUCCGGUCGACUGCCGCCGCCUACCUCACCCUCACCUCCGCUGCACUCGCCCUCGCCUCCGCCGCCACCUACCUCGCCGUCGACCGCCGCGUCAGCGCGCUUGCGGGGCUGCUCUUCCUCGCCGCCUGGGCCGCCAGUCGCGCCCUUGCGGCCUGCCUCGGCUUCGCGGCCUCCUGGAGCACGCCUCUCCCACCGAGACCCUCACCCGCCGCCUCUGAGCGUUGUGGCGUUCCUCGCACCGCCCUCGACGCCGCCGGAGGCCUCGACCCUGCGCGCCCUCCGCUUCGUCAUGGCCCAUGGUGCUGGACGCGCCCCUUGCCGCCGGUGACGCCACGACGGCCGCGGCGGCGGUUGCCCCUGCCGACGAUGAGAAUAAGAAGGAAGGCGAAGGGGGAGACAAGAUGCCGGGCCACAUCAUCUCCACCACCAUCGGUGGGAAGAACGAUGAGACAGUAGCGCAGCAGACUUGGCGAAAAAAAAACUAGCGCAGGGAAAAGGCAGUGCGCCAGGAGGGAAGGAGGGACACUAUUGUCAUUUGCCAUCAAAGGAGGGAAGGAGGGACACUAUUGUCAUUUGCCAUCAAAGGUGCUAAAGUUUAGCACAUCA